UGGGGAAUUUUGGACAAUGGGCGAAAGCCUGAUCCAGCAAUGCCGCGUGUGUGAAGAAGGCCUUCGGGUUGUAAAGCACUUUUGUCCGGAAAGAAAUCCUUGGCUCUAAUACAGUCGGGGGAUGACGGUACCGGAAGAAUAAGCACCGGCUAACUACGUGCCAGCAGCCGCGGUAAUACGUAGGGUGCAAGCGUUAAUCGGAAUUACUGGGCGUAAAGCGUGCGCAGGCGGUUUGCUAAGACCGAUGUGAAAUCCCCGGGCUCAACCUGGGAACUGCAUUGGUGACUGGCAGGCUAGAGUAUGGCAGAGGGGGGUAGAAUUCCACGUGUAGCAGUGAAAUGCGUAGAGAUGUGGAGGAAUACCGAUGGCGAAGGCAGCCCCCUGGGCCAAAUACUGACGCCCAUGCACGAAAGCGUGGGGAGCAAACAGGAUUAGAUACCCUGGUAGUCCACGCCCUAAACGAUGUCAACUAGUUGUUGGGGAUUCAUUUCCUUAGUAACGUAGCUAACGCGUGAAGUUGACCGCCUGGGGGAGUACGGUCGCAAGAUU
RNAcentral lists this ribosomal RNA (549 nucleotides) under uncultured bacterium. RNAcentral's name for it is "partial 16S ribosomal RNA". It matches the Rfam family "Bacterial small subunit ribosomal RNA", at positions 355 to 895 of the family's 1533-position model. The record is from RNAcentral.